UUAACCACACUUUCGCCAUCAAUCUACCAUUCCAAAACACAUUCUUUCAAAAUAAUAUGGUUCAAACACACACAUGUAUGUCAAUAAAGAUCAAAGCAGCAUGAAGAUGGAUCAAAAGAGUAUUUGUUUAUCGCUUGUGCAAAACUGGAUGUGAAUAGCUGACAAUCCAAAUAGGCCACCCAAAUAAGGUGGAGCAUCAAUCACUAGUCCUCUUACUACGAAAACACUCAAAACAGCAGAUCAGAUGAGAAUUUUUCGAGUGCAUGUAGAGAUAUCGUGAUCCCGAUGCUCUGCCAGAAAGCUUAGUCGGAGACUCUGUUGUUGGAACUUGGAUGUGAACACCUAAACAUGAAAUCCAACCAAGAAGCAAGAUAAACGUCUUGAAGCAAAAACAAAAGAAAGGUAAACUACAAGCCUAGAGGAGGUGUUCGCAAUUUUACCUACAUACAUUUUUCCUGCAACACUUUGUUUCACGGGGUGCCUUUCUUCUUGGUACAAAAAGGGACACCGUGCGGCAGUAGUCUGCUCCGCUAGACUACCUUCCGCCUUUUCUCGGUCGCGUCGGGAC
This 568-nucleotide long non-coding RNA is filed under the name Olea europaea (common olive). RNAcentral describes it as "long non-coding RNA (OEUR_LNC009707)". Lineage: Eukaryota; Viridiplantae; Streptophyta; Magnoliopsida; Lamiales; Oleaceae. The record is from RNAcentral.